RNAcentral lists this ribosomal RNA (310 nucleotides) under uncultured bacterium. RNAcentral's name for it is "bacterial SSU rRNA". It matches the Rfam family "Bacterial small subunit ribosomal RNA", at positions 28 to 334 of the family's 1533-position model. The record is from RNAcentral.
GAUGAACGCUAGCGACAGGCUUAACACAUGCAAGUCGAGGGGCAGCACAGGUAGCAAUACCGGGUGGCGACCGGCGCACGGGUGAGUAACGCGUAUGCAACUUGCCUAUCAGAGGGGGAUAACCCGGCGAAAGUCGGACUAAUACCGCAUGAAGCAGGGGCCCCGCAUGGGGAUAUUUGCUAAAGAUUCAUCGCUGAUAGAUAGGCAUGCGUUCCAUUAGGCAGUUGGCGGGGUAACGGCCCACCAAACCGACGAUGGAUAGGGGUUCUGAGAGGAAGGUCCCCCACACUGGAACUGAGACACGGUCCAG